UACGGAGGGGGCUAGCGUUGUUCGGAAUUACUGGGCGUAAAGCGCACGUAGGCGGCUUUGUAAGUUAGAGGUGAAAGCCCGGGGCUCAACUCCGGAAUUGCCUUUAAGACUGCAUCGCUAGAAUUGUGGAAAGGUAAGUGGAAUUCCGAGUGUAGAGGUGAAAUUCGUAGAUAUUCGGAAGAACACCAGUGGCGAAGGCGACUUACUGGACACAUAUUGACGCUGAGGUGCGAAAGCGUGGGGAGCAAACGGG
Molecule: ribosomal RNA, 253 nt
Filed under: uncultured bacterium
Lineage: Bacteria
Description: partial 16S ribosomal RNA
Rfam family: Bacterial small subunit ribosomal RNA
Source: RNAcentral